Molecule: ribosomal RNA, 207 nt
Filed under: uncultured bacterium
Lineage: Bacteria
Description: partial 16S ribosomal RNA
Rfam family: Bacterial small subunit ribosomal RNA
Source: RNAcentral
AGCGUAGACGGUGUGGCAAGUCUGAUGUGAAAGGCAUGGGCUCAACCUGUGGACUGCAUUGGAAACUGUCAUACUUGAGCGCCGGAGGGGUAAGCGGAAUUCCUAGUGUAGCGGUGAAAUGCGUAGAUAUUAGGAGGAACACCAGUGGCGAAGGCGGCUUACUGGACGGUAACUGACGUUGAGGCUCGAAAGCGUGGGGAGCAAACA